ACAUUGAGCCUUGAUGUGUAGGAUAGGUGGGAGGCUUUGAAGUGUGGACGCCAGUCUGCAUGGAGCCGACCUUGAAAUACCACCCUUUAAUGUUUGAUGUUCUAACGUUGACCCGUAAUCCGGGUUGCGGACAGUGUCUGGUGGGUAGUUUGACUGGGGCGGUCUCCUCCUAAAGAGUAACGGAGGAGCACGAAGGUUGGCUAAUCCUGGUCGGACAUCAGGAGGUUAGUGCAAUGGCAUAAGCCAGCUUGACUGCGAGCGUGACGGCGCGAGCAGGUGCGAAAGCAGGUCAUAGUGAUCCGGUGGUUCUGAAUGGAAGGGCCAUCGCUCAACGGAUAAAAGGUACUCCGGGGAUAACAGGCUGAUACCGCCCAAGAGUUCAUAUCGACGGCGGUGUUUGGCACCUCGAUGUCGGCUCAUCACAUCCUGGGGCUGAAGUAGGUCCCAAGGGUAUGGCUGUUCGCCAUUUAAAGUGGUACGCGAGCUGGGUUUAGAACGUCGUGAGACAGUUCGGUCCCUA
Molecule: ribosomal RNA, 520 nt
Filed under: Escherichia coli
Lineage: Bacteria; Pseudomonadati; Pseudomonadota; Gammaproteobacteria; Enterobacterales; Enterobacteriaceae
Description: partial 23S ribosomal RNA
Rfam family: Bacterial large subunit ribosomal RNA
Source: RNAcentral